This is a non-coding RNA of Bos taurus (domestic cattle), 72 nucleotides long. NCBI's taxonomy places the organism in Eukaryota, Metazoa, Chordata, Mammalia, Artiodactyla, Bovidae. The record is from Rfam.
UCCCUAAUGGCUCAGAUGGUAAAGCAUCUGCCUACAAUGCGGGAGAUCUGGGUUCGAUCCCUGGAUAGGGAA